This 4847-nucleotide long non-coding RNA is filed under the name Sus scrofa (pig). RNAcentral describes it as "lncRNA (ENSSSCG00055003578.1)". The record is from RNAcentral. Lineage: Eukaryota; Metazoa; Chordata; Mammalia; Artiodactyla; Suidae.
CACCACAGCAGUGAAAAUGCAAGAUCCUUAACCUGCUGAGCCACCAGAGAAUGUCUAGUUUUCUCUUCCUUCCUUCUUUCCUUUCUAGGGCUGCACCUGCAGCAUAUGAACGUUCCCAGGCUACGCCACGGCCACAGCAAUGCCGGAUCUGAGCCACAUCUGCAACCUACACGACAGCUUGUGGCCACGCUGGAUCCUUGACCUUCUGUGCAGGGUCGGGAUUUGAACCCGCAUCCUCAUGGACACUAGUCAGGUUCUUAACCUGCUGAGCCACAAUGGGAACUCCCUGUCUUCACCUUUCAAGGAAGGAAACUGAGGCUUAGCCAAAGGCCCAGAUCAAACCCAGGCAAUCACUCCAAGUUCAGACUCUUGAGGCACUAAGUUAUCUUGCCUGCCAUCUUCAGCGAUUCUGGAAGCCUAGCAUUUUCGUGAGGGCGGGGGCUGCAGAUUUCCCUUCUUUUGUCUUCUACGCACUCAAGGCAGGGCAGGGAGCACAUUGUGUGCUACGUAAAUAUUAUGUUUCAGAAUGCCAGGUAUAUGAGAGGUCCAAUAUGCUGUUUCUAAGUCAUUUGCUCAUGUCAUAUGUCUCCCUCCUGCUGUUUUGGGUGUUUCCAUGGAAAGUCCUUAUAGAGACCAAGAAAAGAACCAAUUGGAAGCAUCUAAGUAUAUGGCCAGUGACAAUACUGGAGAGAAAUGAUUUUGUCUCUAAUCUGUAAUCUUAUGGUGGGAUGCUAAAUUUACCAUCUCCACAAAUAAAUCUGUGGACAAAGUGUGAAGCCUAGAUUAUUAAUAAGCAUGUGCAAUAUCUUUAUUUAUCCUAUCUAACAACUCUCAGGGGCUGGUGACAGAACCUUAGCACAUAAAGUGCUGAGUCUUAAAGAACAAAAAAUUUUCGCCGUUACCACAUUCCCCUGAGAAGUCUCAUUAAUUCAAAAGGCAAUGAUUUUUUUUGAGAUCAAAUCUCCAAGAGAUAGUUCCAUGAAAGGCACCAACACCAGGGUGUGUCUUUUACAUCUGCCUCCCUUAAAACCCUCACUGUUCUCAGUCCCCAACACACAGUGUACUUAAUAAAAAAAAAAAAAAUCAAUGUACAUGUGCAAAUAGCAUCCAUACUAAGAGCCAAAAGGAAUCUGUAGCUGGCUUGGAACAGAUAAUAAGUUUUGUAUUUAUCUUACAAAAAUAAAAGUAAAAUCCAAGGCAGAUUUUCAAAUACCCCGUGCAUUCUACACUCACUAUCUGCCCCACUGGAGGGGAGAAAUGAGGAUUCUGGCGGAGCAAAACUAACAAUCUUGAGCACAAAAGAUGCUCAUUAAACUUCAUCAUCCUGUCUACUCUAAUGAUGCUUUUACUUAAUAAAAAUUCCCCAAGCAGUUGCAAGGAUAUUAGGCAAGGUCUUUGGUUAUGUAUCAGAGGUCUGAGCUGUCACCAGCAAGCAGGCACUUCAGGGGGUAGGUUCCCAGGGGACGGAGCAAAUACAGCUUUCACAGGAUACAUGCAGAGAAAAAUCAAUACGGCAACUUGCCUCCCUGCUUAAGCAUUUAAGAGAAGAGGUAAUCCUUUUAAAUUAAACCACAAAGUGCUAAAUGUUGCAAUUUCUAAAAUAAACUAAAAAGCAAAGCAAACAAGGCAAAGGGCAGUGGUAAGUUUCCUAAACAAGCUACUACAUGGGGUGCCGGAGACUAUUUUUUAUGAAAAGAAUGAUCUGGGGACAUAACACUUGGAGAGUGAAGGAGAGACAUCCAACCGUAUGUGUGUCCCUGGGUUCAUAAUACACACACAGACACACAAACCUAUUUAUCAAAGGAAGGAAGUGAGAAAUUAUUUCUACAGGUGCCCUUAACCCCUUCAAAAUGGAUUCUUGAGACGUCACUACUAUUAAAAUUCACUAACCCGAAUCUGGCUCUCAAAAGUUGAACAGUCAUUAUCUUGGAGAUCCCUUAACAAGGACAGCUAGAUGUUAAUACUAUAGAAGCAGAAGUUAUUGCUUUUGUCUAGAUCAUACAACCCACUUUCAAGUUCAUGUCCUGCCAAUACAGACGUGGCUGGAGAGAUGGGAGCAUCAAGGCAAGAGUGAGGCGCUACCUAAAAACUUGAAUUUAUCUGGGAGAGAAUGGGUAUGUUUAUCUGUAUGACUGGGUCACUUUGUGGCACAGCAGAAAUGAUCGCAAUCUUGUAAAUUAACUCUACUUCAAGAAAACUUGAAAGGGGGGGGGGGUAAGCCUGCCCUCAUACAUGUUAAAUGAUAAUAUCCAUACAAAACGAACCAAAGCAGAAACAUGGGAUGUUAUCCCCAAUAACACCGGCACAACUCAGACCAGUUAAGACUUGACUGGGAGUCAAGCAAGGGCAUUAACAAGGCUGGAGAGAGAGCAGGUCCAUCAAGAGAGUGAUGGUGUCAGGAGUUCCUGUCAUGGUGCAGUGGAAACAAAUCUGACGAGGAACCAUGAGGGUGUGGGUGCAGGCCCUGGCCUCACUCAGUGGGUUAAGGAUCCGGCGUUGCCGUGAGCUGUGGUGUAGGUUGCAGACUCGGCUCAGCUCUCACGUUGCUGUGGCUGUGGCGUAGCCUGGCAGCUACAGCUCUAAUUAGACCCCUAGCCUGGGAACUUCCACAUGCCGCAGGCGCAGCCCUAAAAAGACAAAAAAAAAGAGAGAGAGAGAGAGAGAGAGCUGGGAAUUCUGUGGAUGCCCUGGCAGGGCUGUGGCUCCAAGUGGAAGCAGAGAAAACAAACAUGGUGCCACCCCAAUCUUCCGGAGGCUGAGCUGAGCCUGCGUGGUCCAGCUUGCGGCCAGCUCGCUCCCCUCUUCUGCCACUGCCCUCCACGUUCUUCAUCUCCAGCACAUGGGCAAACGCAUCAGGCUCCUGCCCAAGAGGUGUUGCACUUGCUUGCUAUGCACUCAGUCUGGAAUGGUCUCCUCCAGGUCUGAGACAGGCCCUCUCACCAUCCCCAUGUUGCAGGUGAGGGAAUGGACAUGGAGACUGAAGCACCUUUGAUGUGAAUGGCUGAGUUGUCCCAGCUCUGGUGCCCAAACAACUCAGUCUCGAACCUCUCCCUCCCUUUACUCUGGGUGCAGAGACUGGUUGGUAUGGGAGCCCAUGGUCAACCUGUGCCAAACAGAGGAAGACCUAGGACCUUGGCUUCCACUGUAGGGAAGAAAGGUCCUUCCCUUCCCUUUCUGUUUGAGUUGAAUUAGAAGUCCAUAUCUGCUGGUGGCCAUAGUGACAUUUGUGGAGAGAGCCUGCCUGGAAGGAAAGAAAGCAGGAGACAAAGCAGAACUGGAAGAUGGAGAGGAAUGGGAUCCAACGGAACUGAACCCUAUAUCAUGCCAUGCCUGAAGUCCACUGCACUGCUGCACUAUUAGUAAUAGAAAGUAAUCCAAAUAAUCGCCAUGCUUUUUAGCUUUGUUUCUUGCAAUUCAAGAAUCCGAGUGACACAUCACUCUGGUCUACUUCAAACCAGAGUUCCUUAGAGAGGUCUCCGUGGCCUGCAUCGCCCCUCUUUAACCACAUUCAUUCCCUUCACACCAACUGUUGCCACAGCAUUAUUUUGUUUAUUUGAUGACUUGUUUCCCACCUCCCUUAGCAGGAACCUCGCCUGCCUUCUCAAGCAUCCUCUGUGACUGGUACGCCAUGGGCGCACAGUGAGCGUUUGUUGAGUGAAUGAAUGAAAGCAUACAUCACUGCACUUCCUAAGAUGUACAAAAAGUAGCCAACUACGUGGGUGUCUUUCCAGCUGGGUCAUUAGUGUCUCUGAAGCUGGGACUGUCUUAAUCCUUUUGCUUCUCCAGUAGUCCAUUUACGGGUAGACUGAAAGAAUGUCUUCAUCAAGGAAUAUUUCCUAACGUCCUCAACUCCACAGUCAUCAAGGGCGACCACAGCCAUGAUUCCCACAGAGAGCUGUCCACUGAAAAGAAUACGUGCUGAGCUGGCCAAGGCAAGUCUUCUAGUCUUUAGGGGCAGUUAUCUUCUGUUAUAAAAUUCUGGUGCCUACAUAAGUGUCUUAAGUUUUGCCCAGUUUCUGUAGGGCUUCUGAGGCUGAAACGCUCAGGGUAAGACAGGAGGAAGCAGUAAAUGCACCAUGGUGCUGUUUUGUGAAGCUGUUUGGGAGUCUAGCCCAUUGUUCUCUGGUGGAAAUUUUCACUCUCUCUGGGUGUUUUGGGGGGUGUUUUGGUCACCCUGCAGCAUAUGGAAGUUCCUGGGCCAGGGAUCAGAUCCGAGCCACAGUUGCAACCUUCGCUGCAGCUGCAGCCACGCUGGAUUCUUAACCCACUAUGAAAGGCCAGGGAUGGAACUUGCAUCCCAGGUUCCAGAGAUUGAGAACUAGCUGAAUCUAGGAAUAGUAUAUAAGAGAGAAUGAAGCUCAACUGGACAUUAUAAAAACACUAAGGUUUCCUCCCUUCCAUUUGAACAAAUUACAAAUCAGAAGGAAUGUUUACUACCAUGGGCAGGUAGUAGCUUUUCCGGUCACACAUGGUUCCCUCACGAACGGCUCAGCAUUCAUGACCUCUUAAGUUACAAAGCCAAGGGUCUUGACCGCCAAACUCAGGUAGCACUGGCCACACAUGCACAUUUCCAUGCAAAGCUUCUGGGGUGUUUUCUGCACUAACUCAUCUAAGCCUUAAGCAAUAGCUCAUGGAUAGAAGAUGCCGUGGAGGUGUGCACAUCUGUCCUGUGGCUCUGGAGACAAAUGAUGGUACAAAUACAAAGCCCAUGUCACAGAACCAGUUACUGCCAUGUCUAAAGAGAGAAGCGUCUACCUUUUCUUUCUUUUGUUUUGCAGAUAAGGCAUAAGGCAUACAUGGAAGUAUUAUUAUUCUCCCCCUCCUCUCCCUCAUUGUGGCUAUUAAUU